Molecule: long non-coding RNA, 417 nt
Filed under: Chrysolophus pictus (golden pheasant)
Lineage: Eukaryota; Metazoa; Chordata; Aves; Galliformes; Phasianidae
Description: lncRNA (ENSCPIG00010009754.1)
Source: RNAcentral
AAGGAUAUCUACCAGAAGUUAGGAUUCACAUCACAAGGGACAAGUGCUGCAAAGAUUAAGUAUGAAUUCUCUUAUCUGCAGCUACAUAAGUCCAGGGUAACUCCAUUGAAGUUGGUGGACAUGAUGAGACAGAAGUAUUAAUGACAUAAUGCUGAUGGUACGAGUGUUCUUCCUGAGCUGAUCCUGUUUGUUUGCUGCACUCAACUACAGCAUUACAAGUCUCCAAUAAUGGAGAUAAGUAUUCAGUAGUACUCAUGGAUAGAUUAAAAAAAAAAAAAAAGACAUGUUACACAUGUCAGUGUGAAUUAUUAUCCUAGUUUUAGUGGUUUAGAAUUUGAAAAACAAAGGGAGGUUGAUGUUUGAAGUAUGUCAUUGAAAUCUCCACGGAGGAGGGAAAUUGGGAGUGUUAUACUACAG